ACAGCAGCCGCCGCGGGAAUACGUAGGUGGCAAGCGUUGUCCGGAAUUAUUGGGCGUAAAGGGCUCGCAGGCGGUUUCUUAAGUCUGAUGUGAAAGCCCCCGGCCCAACCGGGGAGGGUCAUUGGAAACUGGGAAACUUGAGUGCAGAAGAGGAGAGUGGAAUUCCACGUGUAGCGGUGAAAUGCGUAGAGAUGUGGAGGAACACCAGUGGCGAAGGCGACUCUCUGGUCUGUAACUGACGCUGAGGAGCGAAAGCGUGGGGAGCGAACAGGAUUAGAUACCCCUGUAGUCCCUGUCUCUUAUAA
This 305-nucleotide ribosomal RNA is filed under the name uncultured bacterium. Its description in RNAcentral is "partial 16S ribosomal RNA". It matches the Rfam family "Bacterial small subunit ribosomal RNA", at positions 508 to 809 of the family's 1533-position model. The record is from RNAcentral.